GGGGUGUGCUCAGAGAAGGUGGUCUGAAGAAUGGCUUCUCUGUUUACAACACUUAACAGGAAUCUAGGAUCACUGUGACAAAAGGCACAAAACUUGUGAUUUCUCUUUGGUGCAAAUGUCCAAACAUG
Molecule: small nucleolar RNA, 128 nt
Organism: Cavia porcellus (domestic guinea pig)
Lineage: Eukaryota; Metazoa; Chordata; Mammalia; Rodentia; Caviidae
Product: small nucleolar RNA SNORA11
Source: Ensembl